GUCAGCCUGUCACCAUGGUGUUGGCAGGGGUGAGUUGUGUUUGGCUGCCGAGUGCUGAUACAUCCUCAGUGCCAAAGCUUAGUUGUGAGCAGGGCAGUUGCUAGGAGCCUGGGGUAAACACGAAUGCUCCCUGCUUUCCAUACAGCUCCACUUCAAAGUCACGCAGCGCGCUCAUGAAAGUACCCAACGCUCCUCUCCGCUCCUUUGACAACAUGUGGUGCAUGGGUCUGUUUGCAGCGAUGCGGUAAUUGUUAGUAGACAGCGUUUUCGUUGGGGAAGAGGACAAGUAGCAGCACGACAGCUCAGAGUAACCCUCUCCCAUCUUCCCGGAGCACAUGUUCUACACCAGAAACGCAGAAUACCCAGGUCAGGCACCUCCGAGGUCAAGCCCAGCCUGCCCAGAGGGACCACAGCCGCAUUUCUUCGGCCCCUCCUGCCCGCAGCGGAAGGGAGGGAGGUAACUGAUUAUAGAAGAGCUGGAGACAAACAACAAACAGACAAACGUACAAAUUAUUUUCACAUCCACCUCCUAAUUGCUUGCUAAAAACCCUCUAGGACUCCGUGAUCAAAUUUAACAUAUUGCUGGAGCGGUGGUGAGUCACUUGUCAAAAAUUUUCAGCCUCAAUAGCAAAUCAACAGCACUGGCACAGUGAGGCAUGUUCAAAAUACAAGAGAGGGAAUUGUUGUGGAGCCUCUCCAGGGCGAAUCCAGCAAGCUCUCCCCAGAAAUAGAUCUCACCAACGUCUGGAGGGUUUUCAAGGUCAAGUCAUAAUCCUGAAAAUCCUGUAGCCUCACAUGCACGAAGGUGAGAAGGAGAGACAGCUUGAUACACGCACAAAGCAGAAAUCUGCAUUGAAAAUUAAUCCCUUGCCAAAUUUUGCGAUUGUCCCACUAUUGAUCUGGCUGCAGUUCUCAACCUCAUAGUGAUCACUUACCUUGACAAUGUAAUAGUACAGUGUAAUGUAAUUUGGAGAAAAUUGGUUUUAGUCAUAAAAUGGAGACAUAAGAGACUCUGUUCUAGAGGGGGAAAAUGGUAAUAUAUUUGCCAUUUUUUUUCUGGAGAAAAUGUAUUUACCUACAGCGUGUCAAAUUUUAGCCUGCAGCAAAAUGAUUUAUGAACAAAUUCUAAGCUUCUUCACAGCUGACAAGUUAAUUCUCACUGAAGAAAAAAAAAAAAAAAGAGGAAUUAAGACAACACUGAAGAAUGUUAAC
Long non-coding RNA from Calidris pygmaea (Spoon-billed sandpiper), 1212 nucleotides. The record is from Ensembl. NCBI's taxonomy places the organism in Eukaryota, Metazoa, Chordata, Aves, Charadriiformes, Scolopacidae.